UUCCUGCUGUCCACAAGCUUUGCCGAACGGGGGCAUGUCCCAACUUGUUCAGUCCCACCAGCCCACGGCUCCUGGGCUGGCCUGGCGCCACCACCACUUCCCAUAACGUGGGGUGGCCGCCUGGUGCCAGGAGAGGGCAGGAGGGCUACAGCCUUUCACCUGCUGUUCUUUUGCACCCGCUGUUCGGCAGGUCCCGAGUUCUUGUCCUGCGUCCAAGAAGAAUGAGGUUACACUGACAAUUGCAGAGUAACCAAGGCAGAGAGGACGUUUAUUCAGCAACAGAACAGCUCCCAGCAGAGAGGGGACCCAAAGGUGGUAGUCCCACUGUGUAGCUGAGUCCGGGAGUUUUUAUGGGCUCAGAAUGGGGGAGUGUGUGCUGAUUGGUCCAUAGGCAGCCUGGAAAAAGCACCAUUUGAUUGGCUAAAAGGCAUUGCGGGAGUUCUCACUUGGGUCUUAGAUUCUACCCAGAACUGGCAGGUGAGUUUUCAGGCUUCCGGCGGUCUUUGACUCGAAGGUUGGUUUUCACCAGGGACCCGCCCGUAUCUACCUAGGAAUUUGUCUGCUUCCCACCACUAUCAGUAUCUGUCCAUUUAUACUAAGUUCUAAAAUAGGCAAAAUUAAUCUAUAAUUUAAAAAAAAGAAAAAUUCAAAAGACCAGGCUUGAUGGCUCAUGCCUGUAAUCUCAGCACUUCGGGAGGCUGAGGUGGAAAGAUUACUCAAACCCAGGAAUUCAAGACCAGCUCGGGGAAAAUAAGGAAACCUCAUCUCUACAAAAAAUAAAAAAAAAUUAUCCUAGCAUGGUAGCACACAGUGGAGUCGAGACUCGAAGCUUCCACGCGGCGGAACAGCGUCCCUCUCAGGCGGCGAACGGGCUAGGGAAGCGCCCGGAGGAGACCUAGCGUGAGAACUACAACUCCCGCGGAGCCCGAGGGCGAGCUGCCUGCGUAACUUCCGCUUCCGCCACCUGCCCCUCUCACCCUCUUCACUCGAACCCUACCCGGGAGCGGUCAGGCGCGUGACCCCGCGUGACCGGGGUGCGCGAGCCGAGAGGCCCUGGAAGCGGGACUCUGGGACCCCAUUGAAAGAAAGGCAACCAGAAAAGGCGAAACGACAACCUCGAUAGUGAUUGGAGCUGAUGGAACGAGGGCGGAGCUAAAGUCCCAGAAUACUGGCCAAUCAGAGUUUAAGAUUAUCAGGGAGCCCGGGAAGGGGAAAGGGGCGAAAUGGUUCUAUGGUCACAUGCCGCGGGGUCUGGUGGGAGGAGCGGUUGCCCAGCGGCCUCUUGGCGCUUCCUGUUUCCGGUUCCCAGAGUGGGGCACAGCGAGGCGCUAGGGGGAACGCUGGCCUCUGAAACUAGCUCUGGGACCGGGGUCUGCGGCCGGCCCCUAGCUGGCCCCGUCUCCCAUCCCCAGAAGGGUAUUCACUGGGGAUUCUGAGCUUUGGCUACUCCAGUUUCCCACGACACGUGAGUGUGAGGGGCGUGGAGGAGGAGGCGGGCUGGGUUGCGCUCACACUUAAGCGUCUGUGACAGGAGCCGGAAUCGCAUUCUCCCUUGACCAUGGUUCUAGCCAAAGAUCUGGCUGAGGAGCCCUAAGGGUAGAAUGGAGGCGGAGGCA
RNAcentral lists this long non-coding RNA (1616 nucleotides) under Homo sapiens (human). RNAcentral's name for it is "non-protein coding lnc-M6PR-4:1". Lineage: Eukaryota; Metazoa; Chordata; Mammalia; Primates; Hominidae. The record is from RNAcentral.